GAAAGGGGCAAAGAGGGCUUGUGUUCUUCUGCCUAAUUGCAGGCUGCAUCCUGUGUCGGCACCCCCAUGGGACUGCAGAGAACGGGAAAUAGAAAUGCACAUCUCUGCACCAACAUCGGGGAAAUGAUCAUUCCUGGGAGAUGAAAAUCUGCACAUGGCACCGUAAGCCUAACAUCUGUGUCUGGAGGCUGCAAUCGCCUGAGUCUAGCCAGGAGAAAAUGCAGAAACUCUGCUUGGUCUUUUCUCCAUUGACUGUGACAACCAAAAUAAGUGACUGAGACGUAAGUCUCAAUUAUCGAGGUUUAUGAAGACACCUGCUUUAGGGUGCGUCUGGGAAAAACAAGAGCUACAGACACAUCUGUGGCUGUUUCUCUGAAGAGGUUUUCAGGAGAGUUAGUAUUUAUUUGUACAUUUCCUUAAACGGGGGAAAGGAAUGUAAGAAGAGAGGCAGGUAGGCAGUAAAACACUCCUCUGAGACUUUAGUUACUGCCCAGUGAAUUUUACAUAAGGUGAAUGUCUGAAGAGAAAAAGGGGAUAAAGAAAGAGGUGAUUAUGCAGAUGUCUCUGGGUAGGUGGAGGAAUGACUGAUCACAUCCUGUCUUUUCUCUGCACCUGGAAAAAUAAGCUUGUAAUCAACAGUAUCAGUGUGGAAUCAACAGACUUUACUCUUAUGAUCUGGACUUAGAUUAUAGGCCUAAAGUUACACUUGGUAUGCCCUGUUUAUGGGAGGCCAGCAAAGCAUUUACUUAUGAAUGAUUGGUGGGGCAGCCCUUCCAGAUGCCCGAGGCCUUUUCCUUUCCAUGGGGAUUUGGCUGAAGCAUGAUGUUAGUAACAGCCAUGCAUUUGGAAGAAAGGGUUGCAUGACUCAGCCUCCGGGCUCAAGCUUCCCUUUUGAAGUUUGGGAGUCUUGAAGAUUUUUUAUUUUCCUUUACAACUGCAAAGCAACAAGGGGCCUGCUGCCUGGCUAUGGAGACCCAGCCUUGGGGAGGCAGUGCUGCAUGGAGGACCGGCAAUGCCAUCUUCCUGCCUGGUGUGUGGACUUUCUUGAGGAAACAUCCAUGGUGCUGAAGGCUAGGGCACCCUCCCUGAGCUCCUGUAGAGACCUCCCUGGGCUCCCAAACUGGCCUUCACUUUUGCUUCCCACGCCCAGGCAACAGAAGCAGAGCAAGUCUCUCUUGUCACCUCAGGGUUAACUUUGGACACCUUUCAUUUCACCCCACAAAGGCCCUUGCUGUGCCUUUGCUUCCUCAGUGCCUUCUGCCUAUGACAGCUGUAGGCAUCAGUGUAAACUGGAUUGUGCACUAGGCACAAAUGGACACAAGUUAUUUCUGGAUGUGGAUGAUGAAAUACCAUGGUCCUGCUCCCUGCUCAGAACGUUCAGAUGAAACCAACGCACACUGGACCACCGUGCCUGCAGCCCAAGUUCUGGUGAGGAAUGUUCUGGGGGAGUGAAGAGAACCAUAGAGGAGACUGGUGAAGGUUUUGAGAUCAUUGGUGGGCUCUCAUGGGCAACUUUGUUGGGGCGAGGCUGCUGGCAUGAGGAGGCUGGCCGGGCAGGGAGAGGACCUGCUGUGAGUGCCUCCUCCAGGAGGCUACUGGCCGGGGAGUCCCAGGCUCCACCUCCAAGACUCACACAUCUUGGAGACCAUGAGCAAGGCUACAGUGGAGCAGGUGACCACAUCCAGGCAGCACACUAGCCUUUUCUGUCUCCAAUCACCUGCUGGGCUUCCUCUGCCUCUUGGCAAAUCAAAGACGCCAACUUAAAUUUACCUCUUCAAGGAGAAGAGCGGGCAGCCUAACUCUCUCCCUUCUCCUUCGAGGACAUAAGGGACUCUGAGAGUUUCCAGUCCAGCGAGGUCAGGUGUGAGGCACCAGUGUAGAAGAAAGAGCCCCCACGUCAGUUAGCACCUCGGCCUGUGGCCUUGGCAUUAAUUUACUUGUGCGAUCCCAGGCUGUCCCUUUGUGUGCUCCCCGGAAGGACCAAUUAUCACUUUCUCCUGGUCCUGAGAAAAUCACAGCGGACUGGAGGAAAUGAGGUUACAGCCCGCAUCCACCAGUCAGGGCACACUUUCACAAAGUCGCAUGGACAGCGCUGAGCCUUUUGAGUGCUUUACAGCAUUAAAGAAAAACAGUAUAUAAUAAGUUGUUGAUGUACAAUUAUUAUAUGUCAAGUAAAAAAUAAAGAAAAAAGCAGUAAGAACAAUAACUAGAUGUUGAAACAAUUUUUUGGCAAUUGGGCCUAUGAGUACAGUUUGGUGAAGUCUUGACCAAUAUAUACACCUGAGCAACCAUCAUCACAAUCAAGACAAGUGCAUCCAUCACUGCUGAGUGUCCGCACUCCCCUCGGCACUCUCCCUCCUACCUCCCUGUGCAGCCCCAGCCCCAUGUCUGAGCAAUCCCUGAUCUGCUUCCUGCUGCUCUGUCACUGGAGUCUAGUUUGCAUUGUCUACAAUUUUAUGUAAAUGGAACCAUAUAGUAUUGUGCUUCUUUUGCCUAUGUUCUUUCACACAGUAUAAUUAUUUCAAGAUUAUUGCAAGUUGUGGCAUGCAUUACUAGGUCAUUCUUCUUUAUGGCUGACUAGUGUUUUAUUGCAUGAAUACACCUGUUUAUUUGUCCCUUCUCCUGUUGGCGGGCAUUUGAGUUAUUUCCAAGUUUUGUUCAUUACAAAUGAGGCUAGCAUUAAUAAUAGUGCAUUAAUCUUUAUAUGCUUUCAGCUCUCGUGGGUAAAUAUUAGGAGUGGAAGGGCUGAAUCACAUGGAAGUUGUAUAAACCUUUCAAGAAACUUCCACAUUUGUUUCCAAAGGGCUUGCGCCUUUUUAUAUUUCUACUGUUGCCAGUAGGCCAGUUCAGAUUCUUUUUUUUAAUUUAAUUUAAGUUCCAGGAUACAUGUGCAGGACGUGCAGGUUUGUUACAUAGGAAAAUGUGUGCCACGGUGGUUUGCUGCACCUGUCAACCCAUCACCUAGGUAUUAAGCCCAGCAUGCAUUAGCUAUGUAUCCUAAUGCUCUUCCUCCCCCUGCACCCUCAACAAGCCCCAGUGUAUGUUGUUCCCCUCCCUGUGUCCAUGUGUUCUCAUUGUUGAACUCCCACUUACAUGUGAGUUACAUGGGGUAUUUGAUUUUCUGUUCCUGUGUUAGUUUGCUGAGGGUAAUGGCUUCCAGAUUCAUUCAUGUCCCUGCAGAGGCCAUGAUCUCAUUCCUUUUUAUUGCUACAUAAUAUUCCAUGGUGUAUAUGUACCACAUUUUCUUUAUACAGUCUAUCAUUGAUGGGCAUUUGGGUUGAUUCCAUGUCUUUGCUAUUGUGAAUAGUGCUUCAAUGAACAUACGAGUGCAUAUAUCUUUAUAAUAGAAUGAUUUAUAUUUCUUUGGGUAUAUACUCAGUAACAGAAUUGCUGGGCCGAAUGGUAUUUCUGCCUCUAGGUCUCUGAGAAAUCACCACACUGUCUUCUACAAUGGCUGAACUAAUUCACAUUCCCACCAACAGUGUAAAAGCGUUCCUAUUUCUCCACAGCCCCUCCAACAUCUGUUGUUUCUUGACUUUUUAAUAAUAGCCAUUCUGAAUGGUGUGAGAUGUUGUUUUGCUUUGUAUUUCUCUAAGGAUCAGUGAUGUUGAGCUUUUUUUUCAUAUGUUUGUUGGCUGGAUGUACAUCUUCUUUUGAGAAGUGUCUGUUCAUGUCCUCUGCCAAAUUUUAAUAGGGUUAUUUGUUUAUUUCUUGUAAAUCUGUUUAAGUUCCUUGUAGAUUCUGGAUAUUAGACCUUUGUCAGAUGGAUAGAUUGCAAAAAUCUUCUCCCAUUCUGUAGGUUGCCUGUUCACUCCGAUGACAGUUUCUUUUGCUGUGCAGAAGCUCUUUAGUUUAAUUAGAUCCCAUUUGUCAAUUUUGGCUUUUGUUGCAAUUGCUUUUGGUGUUUUUGUCAUGAAAUCUUUGCCCGUGCCUAUGUCCUGAAUGGUAUUUUCUAGAUUUUCUUCUAGGGUUUUUAUAGUUUUGGAUUUUACAUUUAAGUCUUUAAUCCAUUUUGAGUUAAUUUUUGCAUAAGGUGUAAAGAAGGGGUCCAGUUUCAAUUUUCGGCAUAUGGCUAACUUGUUUUCCCAGUGACUUUGCCACACAAAAUAAUUUUAGAGCAAGUCCAAAGUAAGAGUAAGCCAAUAAAUUUAUUACAAAGCAAAUGUACAUGCUGAGAGACAGAGCAGGCUGCUUAAGGUGAGAGACAGCAGCUAGUGCCUUAAGAGGAAUUCUUUUUAUGGGAGCUGUUCAUAUAUAUUCAAAAAAUUCCUGUGAGGUACAAAGUGUGCAAAGUAUUCAAAGGUAGACGUGAGGUUGGUGCAUGUGCUCAGUAACUACAAACUCUAAGAUGCAUCACACGUAUCAUUAGCAUUGAAAAUCCCUACCUAUGGGUGUGCUUUUUACUGCUAAGAUGAGGAAAAGUUUACUAUAAGCUAAACCUUGAGCCUAGCUGCACAUGUGGGACCCAGAGAAGUCCCUGCCCCCACCCUCCUCCCAGGUAGGAAUUUGUAGCAAAAAGUUCCUUGAGCUUUUUGUGCUGAUUGGCUAGAGAGUGGGGAAGCUAAAUCAGAAAUAAGGGAUUUUUGUUCUCUUUCUUGGGCCCUUAUUGGAUAUCAGGAAUGUGCAACCAUCUGGCAGUUGACUGGUGUCCUGUAGGCUGCUUACCUGGUGUCGUGUAGGGCUGCUUACCUGGUGUCCUUCAGGGCUGCAUACCUGGUGUCCUGCAGGGCUGUGUACCUGGUGUCCUGCAGGGCUGUGUACUUAGUGUCUCACAGGGCUGCUUACCUGGUGUCCUGCAGGGCUGCUUACAUUGCAAAACAGUUAGAUGCUGACACACCAUGAGGGUGCAAGUGCAAGGAGCCAGCUGCAUGUGAAAGGGGCCCAAGGGGCUUCAUGCAAGGGGACAAGUCAGUAUGGCCUCCCAACCUCACUCAUCCUGCCUCACUAACAGCAGUGAGAAAGAGUUCCAGUUGUUCCAUAUCCUCACAUGCACUUGGUGUGGCCAGUCUUUUUAACUUCUAGCCAUUCUAAUAUAAGUAAAAAUGGUAUCUCAUUGUGAUUUUAAUUUGCAUUGUCUUAAUGACUAAUGAUGUUGAACAAUUUUUUGUGUGUUUAUUUACCUACAUAUAUAAUUUUUAUGAAAGUGUCUGUUAAAUAUCUGAAGAAGAAAAUAUCUCCCAACUUACUGUAUGAGGCCAAUAUUACCCAGAUAACCAAGUAAUGUUCAUUUCCAGGAAUGCAAACCUUGUUUGUCAUCAAUCAUGUUAAGCAACUAGCAAAGAAAGAAUACAUGAUAAUCCCAACAGAUAUAGAAAACCUAUUUGGCAAAAUCCAACAUGUAUUCCUGAUUUAAAAAAAAAUCUUUCAGUGAAUUAGGAAUAAAGGGAAGUUUCUUUACUUGAAAAAAUACAUCUAUGUAUGUAUGUAUAUGUGUAUAUAUGUAUGUAUGUUUGUAUGUAUGUAUCUAUCUAUCUAUCUACCUACAGAUAGCAUCAUGCCUAAUGGAAGAAAAAGGCUGAAUAUUUUCCCCCUAAACUGAGGAACAAGACUGGGGUGUCCUCUUCUGCCAUUUGUAUUCGACCUUGUACUGAAGGUUCUAAAACCGUGCAGUAAGGCAAGAAAAAUGAAUAAAAUGCAUUGUGAUUAGAAAGGGAAGAGUACAAUGUCUUUAUUCAUGAACGUCAUGUCUACGUAAAACAUUAGGUGGAAUGUACCAGAAAUCUUUAUUUAUUUUAUUUUAUUUAUUUAAUUUUUGAGACAGAAUCUCACUUGUCACCCAGGCUGGAGUGCAGUGGCACGAUAGCUACUUACUGCAACCUGUGCCUCCCAGGUUCAAGCGAUUCUC
Molecule: long non-coding RNA, 5845 nt
Filed under: Homo sapiens (human)
Lineage: Eukaryota; Metazoa; Chordata; Mammalia; Primates; Hominidae
Description: HSALNT0083849
Source: RNAcentral